GACGAACGCUGGCGGCGUGCCUAAUACAUGCAAGUAGAACGCUGAAGAGAGGAGCUUGCUCUUCUUGGAUGAGUUGCGAACGGGUGAGUAACGCGUAGGUAACCUGCCUUGUAGCGGGGGAUAACUAUUGGAAACGAUAGCUAAUACCGCAUAACAAUGGAUGACACAUGUCAUUUAUUUGAAAGGGGCAAUUGCUCCACUACAAGAUGGACCUGCGUUGUAUUAGCUAGUAGGUGAGGUAAUGGCUCACCUAGGCGACGAUACAUAGCCGACCUGAGAGGGUGAUCGGCCACACUGGGACUGAGACACGGCCCAGACUCCUACGGGAGGCAGCAGUAGGGAAUCUUCGGCAAUGGGGGCAACCCUGACCGAGCAACGCCGCGUGAGUGAAGAAGGUUUUCGGAUCGUAAAGCUCUGUUGUAAGUCAAGAACGGGUGUGAGAGUGGAAAGUUCACACUGUGACGGUAGCUUACCAGAAAGGGACGGCUGACUACGUGCCAGCAGCCGCGGUAAUACGUAGGUCCCGAGCGUUGUCCGGAUUUAUUGGGCGUAAAGCGAGCGCAGGCGGUUUGAUAAGUCUGAAGUUAAAGGCUGUGGCUCAACCAUAGUUCGCUUUGGAAACUGUCAAACUUGAGUGCAGAAGGGGAGAGUGGAAUUCCAUGUGUAGCGGUGAAAUGCGUAGAUAUAUGGAGGAACACCGGUGGCGAAAGCGGCUCUCUGGUCUGUAACUGACGCUGAGGCUCGAAAGCGUGGGGAGCGAACAGGAUUAGAUACCCUGGUAGUCCACGCCGUAAACGAUGAGUGCUAGGUGUUGGAUCCUUUCCGGGAUUCAGUGCCGCAGCUAACGCAUUAAGCACUCCGCCUGGGGAGUACGACCGCAAGGUUGAAACUCAAAGGAAUUGACGGGGGCCCGCACAAGCGGUGGAGCAUGUGGUUUAAUUCGAAGCAACGCGAAGAACCUUACCAGGUCUUGACAUCCCGAUGCUAUUUCUAGAGAUAGAAAGUUACUUCGGUACAUUGGUGACAGGUGGUGCAUGGUUGUCGUCAGCUCGUGUCGUGAGAUGUUGGGUUAAGUCCCGCAACGAGCGCAACCCCUAUUGUUAGUUGCCAUCAUUCAGUUGGGCACUCUAGCGAGACUGCCGGUAAUAAACCGGAGGAAGGUGGGGAUGACGUCAAAUCAUCAUGCCCCUUAUGACCUGGGCUACACACGUGCUACAAUGGUUGGUACAACGAGUUGCGAGUCGGUGACGGCGAGCUAAUCUCUUAAAGCCAAUCUCAGUUCGGAUUGUAGGCUGCAACUCGCCUACAUGAAGUCGGAAUCGCUAGUAAUCGCGGAUCAGCACGCCGCGGUGAAUAAAUUCCCGGGCCU
RNAcentral lists this ribosomal RNA (1369 nucleotides) under uncultured bacterium. RNAcentral describes it as "bacterial SSU rRNA". It matches the Rfam family "Bacterial small subunit ribosomal RNA", at positions 28 to 1381 of the family's 1533-position model. The record is from RNAcentral.